RNAcentral lists this ribosomal RNA (270 nucleotides) under uncultured archaeon. RNAcentral describes it as "partial 16S ribosomal RNA". It matches the Rfam family "Archaeal small subunit ribosomal RNA", at positions 477 to 747 of the family's 1478-position model. The record is from RNAcentral.
CAGCACCUCAAGUGGUCAGGAUGAUUAUUGGGCCUAAAGCAUCCGUAGCCGGCUCUGUAAGUUUUCGGUUAAAUCUGUACGCUCAACGUACAGGCUGCCGGGAAUACUGCAGAGCUAGGGAGUGGGAGAGGUAGACGGUACUCGGUAGGAAGGGGUAAAAUCCUUUGAUCUAUUGAUGACCACCUGUGGCGAAGGCGGUCUACCAGAACACGUCCGACGGUGAGGGAUGAAAGCUGGGGGCACGAACCGGAUUAGAUACCCGAGUAGUCC